Molecule: transfer RNA, 81 nt
Filed under: Pseudomonadota bacterium
Lineage: Bacteria; Pseudomonadati; Pseudomonadota
Also listed under: 2 other names
Description: Proteobacteria bacterium tRNA-Leu
Rfam family: tRNA
About the family: Transfer RNA (tRNA) molecules are approximately 80 nucleotides in length. Their secondary structure includes four short double-helical elements and three loops (D, anti-codon, and T loops).
Source: RNAcentral
GCCGCAGUGGUGAAAUGGCAGACACGCUGGUCUUAGAAGCCAGUGCCCUUGGGCGUGGGGGUUCAAGUCCCUCCUGCGGCA